UUAAGCGACUAAGCGUACACGGUGGAUGCCCUGGCAGUCAGAGGCGAUGAAGGACGUGCUAAUCUGCGAUAAGCGUCGGUAAGGUGAUAUGAACCGUUAUAACCGGCGAUUUCCGAAUGGGGAAACCCAGUGUGAUUCGUCACACUAUCAUUAACUGAAUCCAUAGGUUAAUGAGGCGAACCGGGGGAACUGAAACAUCUAAGUACCCCGAGGAAAAGAAAUCAACCGAGAUUCCCCCAGUAGCGGCGAGCGAACGGGGAGCAGCCCAGAGCCUGAAUCAGUAUGUGUGUUAGUGGAAGCGUCUGGAAAGGCGCGCGAUACAGGGUGACAGCCCCGUACACAAAAAUGCACAUGCUGUGAGCUCGAUGAGUAGGGCGGGACACGUGGUAUCCUGUCUGAAUAUGGGGGGACCAUCCUCCAAGGCUAAAUACUCCUGACUGACCGAUAGUGAACCAGUACCGUGAGGGAAAGGCGAAAAGAACCCCGGCGAGGGGAGUGAAAAAGAACCUGAAACCGUGUACGUACAAGCAGUGGGAGCACGCUUAGGCGUGUGACUGCGUACCUUUUGUAUAAUGGGUCAGCGACUUAUAUUCUGUAGCAAGGUUAACCGAAUAGGGGAGCCGAAGGGAAACCGAGUCUUAACUGGGCGUUAAGUUGCAGGGUAUAGACCCGAAACCCGGUGAUCUAGCCAUGGGCAGGUUGAAGGUUGGGUAACACUAACUGGAGGACCGAACCGACUAAUGUUGAAAAAUUAGCGGAUGACUUGUGGCUGGGGGUGAAAGGCCAAUCAAACCGGGAGAUAGCUGGUUCUCCCCGAAAGCUAUUUAGGUAGCGCCUCGUGAAUUCAUCUCCGGGGGUAGAGCACUGUUUCGGCAAGGGGGUCAUCCCGACUUACCAACCCGAUGCAAACUGCGAAUACCGGAGAAUGUUAUCACGGGAGACACACGGCGGGUGCUAACGUCCGUCGUGAAGAGGGAAACAACCCAGACCGCCAGCUAAGGUCCCAAAGUCAUGGUUAAGUGGGAAACGAUGUGGGAAGGCCCAGACAGCCAGGAUGUUGGCUUAGAAGCAGCCAUCAUUUAAAGAAAGCGUAAUAGCUCACUGGUCGAGUCGGCCUGCGCGGAAGAUGUAACGGGGCUAAACCAUGCACCGAAGCUGCGGCAGCGACGCUUAUGCGUUGUUGGGUAGGGGAGCGUUCUGUAAGCCUGUGAAGGUGUGCUGUGAGGCAUGCUGGAGGUAUCAGAAGUGCGAAUGCUGACAUAAGUAACGAUAAAGCGGGUGAAAAGCCCGCUCGCCGGAAGACCAAGGGUUCCUGUCCAACGUUAAUCGGGGCAGGGUGAGUCGACCCCUAAGGCGAGGCCGAAAGGCGUAGUCGAUGGGAAACAGGUUAAUAUUCCUGUACUUGGUGUUACUGCGAAGGGGGGACGGAGAAGGCUAUGUUGGCCGGGCGACGGUUGUCCCGGUUUAAGCGUGUAGGCUGGUUUUCCAGGCAAAUCCGGAAAAUCAAGGCUGAGGCGUGAUGACGAGGCACUACGGUGCUGAAGCAACAAAUGCCCUGCUUCCAGGAAAAGCCUCUAAGCAUCAGGUAACAUCAAAUCGUACCCCAAACCGACACAGGUGGUCAGGUAGAGAAUACCAAGGCGCUUGAGAGAACUCGGGUGAAGGAACUAGGCAAAAUGGUGCCGUAACUUCGGGAGAAGGCACGCUGAUAUGUAGGUGAAGUCCCUCGCGGAUGGAGCUGAAAUCAGUCGAAGAUACCAGCUGGCUGCAACUGUUUAUUAAAAACACAGCACUGUGCAAACACGAAAGUGGACGUAUACGGUGUGACGCCUGCCCGGUGCCGGAAGGUUAAUUGAUGGGGUCAGCGCAAGCGAAGCUCUUGAUCGAAGCCCCGGUAAACGGCGGCCGUAACUAUAACGGUCCUAAGGUAGCGAAAUUCCUUGUCGGGUAAGUUCCGACCUGCACGAAUGGCGUAAUGAUGGCCAGGCUGUCUCCACCCGAGACUCAGUGAAAUUGAACUCGCUGUGAAGAUGCAGUGUACCCGCGGCAAGACGGAAAGACCCCGUGAACCUUUACUAUAGCUUGACACUGAACAUUGAGCCUUGAUGUGUAGGAUAGGUGGGAGGCUUUGAAGUGUGGACGCCAGUCUGCAUGGAGCCGACCUUGAAAUACCACCCUUUAAUGUUUGAUGUUCUAACGUUGACCCGUAAUCCGGGUUGCGGACAGUGUCUGGUGGGUAGUUUGACUGGGGCGGUCUCCUCCUAAAGAGUAACGGAGGAGCACGAAGGUUGGCUAAUCCUGGUCGGACAUCAGGAGGUUAGUGCAAUGGCAUAAGCCAGCUUGACUGCGAGCGUGACGGCGCGAGCAGGUGCGAAAGCAGGUCAUAGUGAUCCGGUGGUUCUGAAUGGAAGGGCCAUCGCUCAACGGAUAAAAGGUACUCCGGGGAUAACAGGCUGAUACCGCCCAAGAGUUCAUAUCGACGGCGGUGUUUGGCACCUCGAUGUCGGCUCAUCACAUCCUGGGGCUGAAGUAGGUCCCAAGGGUAUGGCUGUUCGCCAUUUAAAGUGGUACGCGAGCUGGGUUUAGAACGUCGUGAGACAGUUCGGUCCCUAUCUGCCGUGGGCGCUGGAGAACUGAGGGGGGCUGCUCCUAGUACGAGAGGACCGGAGUGGACGCAUCACUGGUGUUCGGGUUGUCAUGCCAAUGGCACUGCCCGGUAGCUAAAUGCGGAAGAGAUAAGUGCUGAAAGCAUCUAAGCACGAAACUUGCCCCGAGAUGAGUUCUCCCUGACUCCUUGAGAGUCCUGAAGGAACGUUGAAGACGACGACGUUGAUAGGCCGGGUGUGUAAGCGCAGCGAUGCGUUGAGCUAACCGGUACUAAUGAACCGUGAGGCUUAACCUU
Molecule: ribosomal RNA, 2902 nt
Filed under: Escherichia coli
Lineage: Bacteria; Pseudomonadati; Pseudomonadota; Gammaproteobacteria; Enterobacterales; Enterobacteriaceae
Description: bacterial LSU rRNA
Rfam family: Bacterial large subunit ribosomal RNA
Source: RNAcentral